GCUUGCAUAGCUCAGGUGGUAGAGCACUUUCUUGGUAAGGAAGAGGUCGGCAGUUCAAGUCUGCCUGUAAGCA
Molecule: transfer RNA, 73 nt
Filed under: Candidatus Cloacimonadota bacterium
Lineage: Bacteria; Pseudomonadati; Candidatus Cloacimonadota
Also listed under: 1 other name
Description: Candidatus Cloacimonetes bacterium tRNA-Thr
Rfam family: tRNA
About the family: Transfer RNA (tRNA) molecules are approximately 80 nucleotides in length. Their secondary structure includes four short double-helical elements and three loops (D, anti-codon, and T loops). Further hydrogen bonds mediate the characteristic L-shaped molecular structure. tRNAs have two regions of fundamental functional importance: the anti-codon, which is responsible for specific mRNA codon recognition, and the 3' end, to which the tRNAs corresponding amino acid is attached (by aminoacyl-tRNA synthetases). tRNAs cope with the degeneracy of the genetic code in two manners: having more than one tRNA (with a specific anti-codon) for a particular amino acid; and 'wobble' base-pairing, i.e. permitting non-standard base-pairing at the 3rd anti-codon position.
Source: RNAcentral